RNAcentral lists this non-coding RNA (22 nucleotides) under Arabidopsis thaliana (thale cress). The record is from RNAcentral. Lineage: Eukaryota; Viridiplantae; Streptophyta; Magnoliopsida; Brassicales; Brassicaceae.
UCGAUCGACACCUGCAGCUGCC